RNAcentral lists this ribosomal RNA (206 nucleotides) under uncultured bacterium. Its description in RNAcentral is "partial 16S ribosomal RNA". It matches the Rfam family "Bacterial small subunit ribosomal RNA", at positions 1295 to 1500 of the family's 1533-position model. The record is from RNAcentral.
AGAUCGCAGUCUGCAACCCGACUGCGUGAAGUCGGAAUCGCUAGUAAUCGCGGAUCAGCAUGCCGCGGUGAAUACGUUCCCGGGCCUUGUACACACCGCCCGUCACACCAUGGGAGCCGGUAAUACCCGAAGUCAGUAGUCUAACCGCAAGGAGGACGCUGCCGAAGGUAGGAUUGGCGACUGGGGUGAAGUCGUAACAAGGUAAC